AUGGAUAGCGUGACGACCUUUUUCGCUUGGUGGGCGCUCGCGGCCGACACCUCGCCGAGCGGCCUGCGUAAAGGGCUCAACUCCAUCAUCACUCUGACCGCUUGGGCCAUCUGGAAGCACCGCAACGCCGUCAUCUUCGACGGCCUUCACCCCUCUACCGAUGAUCUUGUGCUCUCCAUCCAAGAUGACGCUCGCCUAUGGGCUAAGGCCGGCGCCAAGGGACUAGCCGCUACUAUUCCUGCAACCUGA
Molecule: ribosomal RNA, 249 nt
Filed under: Triticum aestivum (bread wheat)
Lineage: Eukaryota; Viridiplantae; Streptophyta; Magnoliopsida; Poales; Poaceae
Description: partial small subunit ribosomal RNA
Source: RNAcentral